RNAcentral lists this ribosomal RNA (1512 nucleotides) under Lactiplantibacillus pentosus. Its description in RNAcentral is "bacterial SSU rRNA". It matches the Rfam family "Bacterial small subunit ribosomal RNA". Lineage: Bacteria; Bacillati; Bacillota; Bacilli; Lactobacillales; Lactobacillaceae. The record is from RNAcentral.
GACGAACGCUGGCGGCGUGCCUAAUACAUGCAAGUCGAACGAACUCUGGUAUUGAUUGGUGCUUGCAUCAUGAUUUACAUUUGAGUGAGUGGCGAACUGGUGAGUAACACGUGGGAAACCUGCCCAGAAGCGGGGGAUAACACCUGGAAACAGAUGCUAAUACCGCAUAACAACUUGGACCGCAUGGUCCGAGUUUGAAAGAUGGCUUCGGCUAUCACUUUUGGAUGGUCCCGCGGCGUAUUAGCUAGAUGGUGGGGUAACGGCUCACCAUGGCAAUGAUACGUAGCCGACCUGAGAGGGUAAUCGGCCACAUUGGGACUGAGACACGGCCCAAACUCCUACGGGAGGCAGCAGUAGGGAAUCUUCCACAAUGGACGAAAGUCUGAUGGAGCAACGCCGCGUGAGUGAAGAAGGGUUUCGGCUCGUAAAACUCUGUUGUUAAAGAAGAACAUAUCUGAGAGUAACUGUUCAGGUAUUGACGGUAUUUAACCAGAAAGCCACGGCUAACUACGUGCCAGCAGCCGCGGUAAUACGUAGGUGGCAAGCGUUGUCCGGAUUUAUUGGGCAUAAAGCGAGCGCAGGCGGUUUUUUAAGUCUGAUGUGAAAGCCUUCGGCUCAACCGAAGAAGUGCAUCGGAAACUGGGAAACUUGAGUGCAGAAGAGGACAGUGGAACUCCAUGUGUAGCGGUGAAAUGCGUAGAUAUAUGGAAGAACACCAGUGGCGAAGGCGGCUGUCUGGUCUGUAACUGACGCUGAGGCUCGAAAGUAUGGGUAGCAAACAGGAUUAGAUACCCUGGUAGUCCAUACCGUAAACGAUGAAUGCUAAGUGUUGGAGGGUUUCCGCCCUUCAGUGCUGCAGCUAACGCAUUAAGCAUUCCGCCUGGGGAGUACGGCCGCAAGGCUGAAACUCAAAGGAAUUGACGGGGGCCCGCACAAGCGGUGGAGCAUGUGGUUUAAUUCGAAGCUACGCGAAGAACCUUACCAGGUCUUGACAUACUAUGCAAAUCUAAGAGAUUAGACGUUCCCUUCGGGGACAUGGAUACAGGUGGUGCAUGGUUGUCGUCAGCUCGUGUCGUGAGAUGUUGGGUUAAGUCCCGCAACGAGCGCAACCCUUAUUAUCAGUUGCCAGCAUUAAGUUGGGCACUCUGGUGAGACUGCCGGUGACAAACCGGAGGAAGGUGGGGAUGACGUCAAAUCAUCAUGCCCCUUAUGACCUGGGCUACACACGUGCUACAAUGGAUGGUACAACGAGUUGCGAACUCGCGAGAGUAAGCUAAUCUCUUAAAGCCAUUCUCAGUUCGGAUUGUAGGCUGCAACUCGCCUACAUGAAGUCGGAAUCGCUAGUAAUCGCGGAUCAGCAUGCCGCGGUGAAUACGUUCCCGGGCCUUGUACACACCGCCCGUCACACCAUGAGAGUUUGUAACACCCAAAGUCGGUGGGGUAACCUUUUAGGAACCAGCCGCCUAAGGUGGGACAGAUGAUUAGGGUGAAGUCGUAACAAGGUAGCCGUAG